UGGCGACGAGUGGCGAACGGGUGAGUAAUAUAUCGGAACGUGCCCAGUCGUGGGGGAUAACUGCUCGAAAGAGCAGCUAAUACCGCAUACGACCUGAGGGUGAAAGCGGGGGAUCUUCGGACCUCGCGCGAUUGGAGCGGCCGAUAUCAGAUUAGGUAGUUGGUGGGGUAAAGGCCUACCAAGCCGACGAUCUGUAGCUGGUCUGAGAGGACGACCAGCUACACUGGGACUGAGACACGGCCCAGACUCCUACGGGAGGCAGCAGUGGGGAAUUUUGGACAAUGGGGGCAACCCUGAUCCAGCCAUGCCGCGUGCGGGAAGAAGGCCUUCGGGUUGUAAACCGCUUUUGUCAGGGAAGAAAUCCUUUGGGCUAAUAACUCGGAGGGAUGACGGUACCUGAAGAAUAAGCACCGGCUAACUACGUGCCAGCAGCCGCGGUAAUACGUAGGGUGCAAGCGUUAAUCGGAAUUACUGGGCGUAAAGCGUGCGCAGGCGGUUAUGCAAGACAGAUGUGAAAUCCCCGGGCUCAACCUGGGAACUGCAUUUGUGACUGCAUGGCUAGAGUACGGUAGAGGGGGAUGGAAUUCCGCGUGUAGCAGUGAAAUGCGUAGAUAUGCGGAGGAACACCGAUGGCGAAGGCAAUCCCCUGGACCUGUACUGACGCUCAUGCACGAAAGCGUGGGGAGCAAACAGGAUUA
This 698-nucleotide ribosomal RNA is filed under the name uncultured Burkholderiales bacterium. RNAcentral's name for it is "bacterial SSU rRNA". It matches the Rfam family "Bacterial small subunit ribosomal RNA", at positions 86 to 780 of the family's 1533-position model. Lineage: Bacteria; Pseudomonadati; Pseudomonadota; Betaproteobacteria; Burkholderiales. The record is from RNAcentral.